AAGGGGACACGGAGAAGCGGGAUGAGGGAAGAUAUCAGAGGACCAGCAAGGGGCAGAAAGGCAGAAGGGGAAGAAGGAGAUGGAGUCCCUCAGUCCUCCCGAAUUUGGAGGUCCCACGAGCAGCAGAGCAAGGGGACCAAAAUGCACGGACGAUUCACGUUAAAAAUAAUUUUUAUAUAAUCACUGAAGAGUUGAAGUGAGUUGCAGUUGCCCAGUUGACGCAACUGUCUGUUUGGAGAUAUUUGAUUAAUGAAAUUAAUUAUAUGUCUCCAAACAGAAAGUUUGCACUGCUCUAUUCCUACUUUGCAGCUCCCUGCGGCAUAGACAGGCUAGAUGUUCACGGGACGGUCUCCUCCUCUUCCUGCCACACAGGAAGACUACACUUCCCAGGCUGCUUUGCAGUUAGGUUGCAACCAUGUGACCGAGUUCCGGCCAAUGGAAAGUGAGCAAAGGCGUGCGGGCCAGCUCCAGCCUUGGCCUUAAAAGACCCUAUGGGGUUGUCUAUUUUCUCUCUUUUCUGAAGCCACAGCAUGGGUGCAGCCCGGAUCCCUGAGUCACCCCUUGGAAGAACUGUUCACCUCUCAAUGGAAUUUGGGUUGCAACCACUUUCGCCAGCCCUCAGACGUCAGCUAUCCAUCGAUACUAUAGCUUUGGGGUGGGGGAACCACCAGAUGGAGGAGGCGUGACAACCCGGGGGGAGACAGAGCAAAGAGGUGUAGGAGGGUAGACAAGGGAGGGACAGACAGACAAUAAAUCCAGGACUCACGGCAAAUUUUGCGAUCGCAGGCUGCAAGAGAAAAGAGCUGAGCAGGGGCCCAUCUGGAGGAGAGAAGGAGAUCCCGGUGGGGUGGGAGGCCCCCCACAAGCCCAGCCCGUCUGCAGCUUCAAAGAGAAGGAAUGAGGAAGCUCUUUAUCAUGCGCCAGGAGUGACCAAGACGAGGUAUUAGUCAGGGUCCAAGAGGCAAAUCUAUGACCUGGGAGGUGCUGCCUCCACUGUGCGGCCCCAGGCUAAACCACCCUCUCCUGGCCUCAGUUUCCUCGUCUGGGGCUGGCCCUGUGGCCGAGUGGUUAAGUUCGCGCGCUCCGCUGCAGGCGG
Molecule: long non-coding RNA, 1096 nt
Organism: Equus caballus (horse)
Lineage: Eukaryota; Metazoa; Chordata; Mammalia; Perissodactyla; Equidae
Source: RefSeq, a predicted model, not a curated record